RNAcentral lists this ribosomal RNA (484 nucleotides) under uncultured bacterium. RNAcentral describes it as "partial 16S ribosomal RNA". It matches the Rfam family "Bacterial small subunit ribosomal RNA", at positions 28 to 507 of the family's 1533-position model. The record is from RNAcentral.
AUUGAACGCUGGCGGCAUGCUUUACACAUGCAAGUCGAACGGCCGCGCGGGCUUCGGCCUGGCGGCGAGUGGCGAACGGGUGAGUAAUGCAUCGGAACGUGCCCAGUCUUGGGGGAUAGCCCGGCGAAAGCCGGAUUAAUACCGCAUACGACCUGAGGGUGAAAGCGGGGGACCGAAAGGCCUCGCGCUAUUGGAGCGGCCGAUGUCGGAUUAGCUAGUUGGUUGGGUAAAGGCUUACCAAGGCGACGAUCCGUAGCUGGUCUGAGAGGACGACCAGCCACACUGGGACUGAGACACGGCCCAGACUCCUACGGGAGGCAGCAGUGGGGAAUUUUGGACAAUGGGGGCAACCCUGAUCCAGCCAUGCCGCGUGCGGGAAGAAGGCCUUCGGGUUGUAAACCGCUUUUGUUCGGGAAGAAAUCCUCUGGGCUAAUACCCCGGGGGGAUGACGGUACCGGAAGAAUAAGCACCGGCUAACUACGUG